This 414-nucleotide ribosomal RNA is filed under the name uncultured microorganism. RNAcentral describes it as "bacterial SSU rRNA". It matches the Rfam family "Archaeal small subunit ribosomal RNA", at positions 459 to 872 of the family's 1478-position model. The record is from RNAcentral.
CAGCAGCCGCGGUAAUACCGGCGGCCCGAGUGGCGGCCACUAUUAUUGGGCCUAAAGCGUCCGUAGCCGGGCUGGUAAGUCCUCCGGGAAAUCUGGUCGCUUAACGAUCAGACUUCCGGAGGAUACUGCUGGCCUAGGGACCGGGAGAGGCCGAGGGUAUUCCCGGGGUAGGGGUGAAAUCCUGUAAUCCCGGGAGGACCACCUGUGGCGAAGGCGCUCGGCUGGAACGGGUCCGACGGUGAGGGACGAAGGCCAGGGGAGCGAACCGGAUUAGAUACCCGGGUAGUCCUGGCGGUAAACGAUGCGGACUAGGUGUCGGGCAAGCUAAGGGCUUGUCCGGUGCCGCAGGGAAGCCGUUAAGUCCGCCGCCUGGGGAGUACGGCCGCAAGGCUGAAACUUAAAGGAAUUGGCGGG